This 303-nucleotide ribosomal RNA is filed under the name uncultured bacterium. RNAcentral's name for it is "partial 16S ribosomal RNA". It matches the Rfam family "Bacterial small subunit ribosomal RNA", at positions 507 to 808 of the family's 1533-position model. The record is from RNAcentral.
AGCAGUCGCCGCGGUAACACGUAGGUGGCAAGCGUUGUCCGGAAUUAUUGGGCGUAAAGGGCUCGCAGGCGGUUUCUUAAGUCUGAUGUGAAAGCCCCCGGCUCAACCGGGGAGGGUCAUUGGAAACUGGGAAACUUGAGUGCAGAAGGGGAGAGUGGAAUUCCACGUGUAGCGGUGAAAUGCGUAGAGAUGUGGAGGAACACCAGUGGCGAAGGCGACUCUCUGGUCUGUAACUGACGCUGAGGAGCGAAAGCGUGGGGAGCGAACAGGAUUAGAUACCCGGUAGUCCCUGUCUCUUAUACC